CUCCACGAAAGGGCUCCAAAAACCCCAAUCUCAAUCCUCUUCAUCUCCACCUCUUUUGACUGGCCACACUUCUCAUCGACAACUCGUCCUAGCUUCCCCCAAAUGCCUCUUUUCAUUUUUAUCACAUUUUGUUUUUACGUUCACGCCCCCCACCCUCCAUUCGUGCAUCUUGAGUUUUGGGAGAUCGGCUUGCGGAAGACGCACUGCUUGAACGGUGUCUAAUUGGCAAGUGCUUGAACGAGCUCGCAGUCGCUUUCACUUCUUGAGGUACUAUUCUAACUUUUCUCCCAAUUUUUCGCUUUCUUUUUUGGUUCCAUCGCCAGAAGUUCACUACUGAUCUCCUCUUUCCUCACCGACGACUCUCAGGUUUGUAUUUCCUUGCCGAUGAUCCAAAUUCAUCUUUGAUCUCAAUUGAUUGCACAUUUCUUUUCUUCUUAUCCAACUGACGAUUCGCUAAUUGACUAAAUUUGUGGAUUAUUGCCUUGUUCGAUUACUUUUUGGAGAUAUCUUGACGUAGAGGAGAUUGUGGCCGCGACUACUAUUCCGAUAACUUAUUGGUUGAGAACCCGUCAUACCACCCGCUUCCGGUGAUAGAGAUGCCAUCUCUUGUCUUGGAUUAUUUGAUCCAGCCACCGCCUCAAUCCCAUUUCUGAUGAUAGGAGGGAUGAUCCUUUGGGUCUCCUAUCAAAUUAAUGGACCUACGAGAGGGUUGGUUUAUGAAGUUACUGUUGAUUAUUCGUAACUAUGUUUCCUACGCAAUGGUUCAUCAUGAAGUGCUAAGAAUUCAAGAAAACAAAGUGGAGUCGUUGACUUGGGAGGAUUGGGAAGUUUUUAAAGGAUUACCAGUUUCAACUUGAAGUGGCUAGUAAUGAAUGAAAGUUUCAUCGAUACUUUUUGUGCAAAGAAAGUUGAUUUGACUCUCAAGUGGGCCAUCAAAACAUGUUCUUGCUUAUGCUGACUAGUUAAGAGAAGAUCCCUGAUUUUUGGAUAUCCUAGUUCAAGUUUCUCCAACAAUAGAUGGCCAUGCAUUUUGAAAAUUGAUGUUGGGUUAUAAGCCCUCACUUGUACAAGUAAGCAAAAUAACUUUCUUCAUGGUUGAGCCAUUUGGAAAUUAUCAAGAUCAAAGCUUCUUGUUGGUGCUCAUUUCAAAAUCAUUUUUACGACCCUUUUUAAGUUAUUUGUAGCAAUUUGAGGUCUUUAUUGUAGCUUCUUGGACUAUUUUCCCAUAUUUCUGUUCUUUUCUUCUGCUUUGUUCCUUUGUUAGGUUCUGUUUUCAUUGUUUCUUUUUUCUUUUUAUCUCUUCUUUCUUCAGAUAAAACAUGAAAAGUUGAUACAGUACGCACUUGCCUUCGUAGUUUUUGCUUGAUAAUUGAGAAACAACUUCAAUUGCUGUAGAAGUUAGGUUAUAAGAUUCAUUUCUCUUCUACUUUCAUUGGAGAAGCCUUUUGUUUCUUUUUCUAUCUUCUAGCUCUACCCAUACUUUAGUACUCCAAGUAGUAAUUUUUAAUUUAUGCUCCAGGUUGAACUCAACCAAGUGAUGAGUAUAUUUAUAAUUUAUUUUGUAGGUUGAACUCAACCAAACGUGCCAUUUGUAGUUUCCAAGGUUGCGAGUCGUUUUUUUAAGUAAGAUUAAUUGUUAUGACUGAAAAUUUGGUUUCGAGCUAGUUCUUCCUGCUCCACUGUUGCCAAAUGUGGGGAUGAUGAAGAGAAUCAAGUGGUUCCAAUGUCGCCACCACCUCCAGUUUCGAGCUAGUUCUUCCUGCUCUCCAUUGUUUCUUCUUCUUUGAAUGAUUUUAACUAGAUCUUAAGAAAUCUGAGGUUUUGCCCGAUUCCAUUGGAGCAGCGAAACCAUAUUUGUGGCAAUUCAUUGAUGUAUAGGCAUUUUUGUAGGUUUGGUAGGAAAAUUUCCGGUUUAAAUGUACUUAUUUAAAUAGCUAGCUUGUUCGUAACAAACCAUAUAUGUAUCAACACUUAAAGCGAUAUUAUAAAGUGUAUGUUUCUUUA
This is a long non-coding RNA of Cucumis melo (muskmelon), 2004 nucleotides long. RefSeq lists it as uncharacterized. Lineage: Eukaryota; Viridiplantae; Streptophyta; Magnoliopsida; Cucurbitales; Cucurbitaceae. The transcript is spliced from 7 exons. The record is from RefSeq and is a predicted model, not a curated record.